AGUUACGUAGUAUACGUGGCAUACGGCUCAGUAACACGUAGUCAACAUGCCCAGAGGACGUGGAUAACCUCGGGAAACUGAGGAUAAACCGCGAUAAGUCAUGAUUCCUGGAAUGGUUCAUGGCUGAAAUCUAUAUGGCCUUUGGAUUGGACUGCGGCCGAUCAGGCUGUUGGUGAGGUAAUGGCCCACCAAACCUGUUACCGGUACGGGCUCUGAGAGGAGGAGCCCGGAGAUGGGCACUGAGACAAGGGCCCAGGCCCUAUGGGGCGCAGCAGGCGCGAAACCUCUGCAAUAGGCGAAAGCUUGACAGGGUUACUCUGAGUGAUUUCCGUUAAGGAGAUCUUUUGACACCUCUAAAAAUGGUGUAGAAUAAGGGGCGGGCAAGUCUGGUGUCAGCCGCCGCGGUAAUACCAGCACCCCGAGUGGUCGGGACGAUUAUUGGGCCUAAAGCAUCCGUAGCCGGUCCUACAAGUCUUCCGUUAAAUCCACCUGCUCAACAGAUGGGCUGCGGAAGAUACUAUAGGGCUAGGAGGCGGGAGAGGCAAGCGGUACUCAGUGGGUAGGGGUAAAAUCCUCUGAUCCAUUGAAGACCACCAGUGGCGAAGGCGGCUUGCCAGAACGCGCUCGACGGUGAGGGAUGAAAGCUGGGGGAGCAACCGGAUUAGAUACCCGGGUUAGUCCCACCUG
This 687-nucleotide ribosomal RNA is filed under the name uncultured archaeon. RNAcentral describes it as "bacterial SSU rRNA". It matches the Rfam family "Archaeal small subunit ribosomal RNA", at positions 56 to 753 of the family's 1478-position model. The record is from RNAcentral.